AAAUUGAAGAGUUUGAUCCUGGCUCAGAUUGAACGCUGGCGGCAGGCCUAACACAUGCAAGUCGAACGGUAACAGGAAGCAGCUUGCUCGUUUGCUGACGAGUGGCGGACGGGUGAGUAAUGUCUGGGAAACUGCCUGAUGGAGGGGGAUAACUACUGGAAACGGUGGCUAAUACCGCAUAACGUCGCAAGACCAAAGAGGGGGACGUUCGGGCCUCUUGCCAUCAGAUGUGCCCAGAUGGGAUUAGCUAGUUGGUGAGGUAACGGCUCACCAAGGCGACGAUCCCUAGCUGGUCUGAGAGGAUGACCAGCCACACUGGAACUGAGACACGGUCCAGACUCGUACGGGAGGCAGCAGUGGGGAAUAUUGCACAAUGGGGGCAAGCCUGAUGCAGCCAUGCCGCGUGUAUGAAGAAGGCCUUCGGGUUGUAAAGUACUUUCAGCGGGGAGGAAGGUGUUGUGGUUAAUAACCGCAGCACAUUGACGUUACCCGCAGAAGAAGCACCGGCUAACUCCGUGCCAGCAGCCGCGGUAAUACGGAGGGUGCAAGCGUUAAUCGGAAUUACUGGGCGUAAAGCGCACGCAGGCGGUCUGUCAAGUCGGAUGUGAAAUCCCCGGGCUCAACCUGGGAACUGCAUUCGAAACUGGCAGGCUUGAGUCUUGUAGAGGGGGGUAGAAUUCCAGGUGUAGCGGUGAAAUGCGUAGAGAUCUGGAGGAAUACCGGUGGGGCGAAGGCGGCCCCCUGGACAAAGACUGACGCUCAGGUGCGAAAGCGUGGGGAGCAAACAGGAUUAGAUACCCUGGUAGUCCACGCCGUAAACGAUGUCUACUUGGAGGUUGUGCCCUUGAGAGCGUGGCUUCCGGAGCUAACGCGUUAAGUAGACCGCCUGGGGAGUACGGCCGCAAGCUUAAAACUCAAAUGAAUUGACGGGGGCCCGCACAAGCCGUGGAGCAUGUGGUUUAAUUCGAUGCAACGCGAAGAACCUUACCUGGUCUUGACAUCCACAGAACUUUCCAGAGAUGGACUGGUGCCUUCGGGAACUGUGAGACAGGUGCUGCAUGGCUGUCGUCAGCUCGUGUUGUGAAAUGUUGGGUUAAGUCCCGCAACGAGCGCAACCCUUUAUCUUUGUUGCCAGCGGUCCGGCCGGGAACUCAAAGGAGACUGCCAGUGAUAAACUGGAGGAAGGUGGGGAUGACGUCA
Molecule: ribosomal RNA, 1200 nt
Filed under: Salmonella enterica subsp. enterica serovar Thompson
Lineage: Bacteria; Pseudomonadati; Pseudomonadota; Gammaproteobacteria; Enterobacterales; Enterobacteriaceae
Description: bacterial SSU rRNA
Rfam family: Bacterial small subunit ribosomal RNA
Source: RNAcentral